ACCCUCGCUUCCUUUCAAAGCGCAUAAAUCUUUCGCCUUUUACCAAAGAUUUCCGUGGAGAGGAGUAACAGAGAAACUGAAGGCAAUUUUUGAUUAGAGAAGCAGCGUGGCUCAG
Molecule: small nuclear RNA, 115 nt
Organism: Tachyglossus aculeatus (Australian echidna)
Lineage: Eukaryota; Metazoa; Chordata; Mammalia; Monotremata; Tachyglossidae
Product: U5 spliceosomal RNA
Exons: 1
Source: RefSeq, a predicted model, not a curated record